CCUACGGGAGGCAGCAGUGGGGAAUUUUGGACAAUGGGCGCAAGCCUGAUCCAGCAAUGCCGCGUGCAGGAUGAAGGCCUUCGGGUUGUAAACUGCUUUUGUACGGAACGAAACGGUCUGCUCUAAUACAGUGGGCUAAUGACGGUACCGUAAGAAUAAGCACCGGCUAACUACGUGCCAGCAGCCGCGGUAAUACGUAGGGUGCGAGCGUUAAUCGGAAUUACUGGGCGUAAAGCGUGCGCAGGCGGUUAUAUAAGACAGAUGUGAAAUCCCCGGGCUCAACCUGGGACCUGCAUUUGUGACUGUAUAGCUAGAGUGCGGCAGAGGGGGAUGGAAUUCCGCGUGUAGCAGUGAAAUGCGUAGAUAUGCGGAGGAACACCGAUGGCGAAGGCAAUCCCCUGGGCCUGCACUGACGCUCAUGCACGAAAGACGUGGGGAGGACGAAACAAGGAGUAGUAUACCUACGGUAGUACCGACCGACCCUAAACCGAACUGU
Molecule: ribosomal RNA, 496 nt
Filed under: uncultured bacterium
Lineage: Bacteria
Description: bacterial SSU rRNA
Rfam family: Bacterial small subunit ribosomal RNA
Source: RNAcentral